GCCCCCUCGCCAGGCAGAUAAUUGCUACAUAUUCUUUUGUACUGCUGCCACCACCUCCACCAUCGGGCGUUUUCCCAAACAAUUGCCUGAGCAGCCUCAGAGCAAUCCAUCUCCCUGCCGACACUGCUUUGGUAUUAGGGGUCUCCCAGGAGCAGAUUCUGUGGCAAAUAUGAUGCACAGAGCCAAAUCCAGGAAGAUCUAGACCCUUGGAGGCCCAGACCAAGUCUACCAUGACAGGCUCCUGCCAUCAGCUCCAUAUCGAGCAACGGCAUCUGGAAGCUCGUUUGGGGUAGGAACUGCUCCCUUUCACCACCCCUGCUGGCCUUCUGUGGGCAGAGAGAUGCCCUGUGACUGCUCCUGUCUGAUCACAUUCCCCACUCUCCUCACCCUGAAGCUAACAUCUCUGCACUGGCUGGAGUAAGUCCAAAGGUUGUUAAACACUGGUCUGGCCACUGGCUUUUGCUGCAGGAGUGAAAGUGGAUGAAUGCCUUGUGCCCAUCCAUACCUUGCUAUGAGCUCCUUCUUCUGACAUCCUACCUUGGGGCUAAGCCUCCUCCCCUGGCUGUGGUGCUACAGAUAUAAAUCACCUUCUGUAGCUGGGUAACUCUUUACUUUAAGGGCCUGUUCCUUUAAGCAAAAGCAGUAGGAGAG
This 651-nucleotide long non-coding RNA is filed under the name Zonotrichia albicollis (white-throated sparrow). Its description in RNAcentral is "lncRNA (ENSZALG00000000628.1)". Lineage: Eukaryota; Metazoa; Chordata; Aves; Passeriformes; Passerellidae. The record is from RNAcentral.